This 403-nucleotide ribosomal RNA is filed under the name uncultured Cercozoa. RNAcentral's name for it is "partial small subunit ribosomal RNA". It matches the Rfam family "Eukaryotic small subunit ribosomal RNA", at positions 30 to 432 of the family's 1831-position model. Lineage: Eukaryota; Cercozoa. The record is from RNAcentral.
GCUUGUCUCAAAGAUUAAGCCAUGCAUGUCUAAGUAUAAGUAAUUAUACUGCGAAACUGCGAACGGCUCAUUAAAUCAGUUAUCGUUUAUUUGAUAUUGCCUUACUACAUGGAUAACCGUAGUAAUUCUAGAGCUAAUACAUGCGUCAAGUUCCGACCUUCGGGAAGGAAUGUAUUUAUUAGAUAACAAAACCAAUCCGGUUCUGCCGGUUCUUUGGUGAUUCAUAAUAACUGUUCGGAUCGCAUGCCCUCGUGGCGGCGAUAGGUCAUUCAAAUUUCUGCCCUAUCAGCUUUCGACGGUAGGAUAGAGGCCUACCGUGGCGGUAACGGGUGACGGAGAAUUAGGGUUCGAUUCCGGAGAGGGAGCCUGAGAAACGGCUACCACAUCCAAGGAAGGCAGCAGG